ACAACUUUCAACAACGGAUCUCUUGGUUCUGGCAUCGAUGAAGAACGCAGCGAAAUGCGAUACGUAGUGUGAAUUGCAGAAUUCAGUGAAUCAUCGAAUCUUUGAACGCACAUUGCGCCCUUUGGUAUUCCAAAGGGCAUGCCUGUUCGAGCGUCAUUU
RNAcentral lists this ribosomal RNA (159 nucleotides) under Curvularia lunata. RNAcentral describes it as "5.8S ribosomal RNA". It matches the Rfam family "5.8S ribosomal RNA". From Rfam's summary of the family: 5.8S ribosomal RNA (5.8S rRNA) is a component of the large subunit of the eukaryotic ribosome. It is transcribed by RNA polymerase I as part of the 45S precursor that also contains 18S and 28S rRNA. The record is from RNAcentral. RNAcentral also lists the same sequence under 10 other names. Lineage: Eukaryota; Fungi; Ascomycota; Dothideomycetes; Pleosporales; Pleosporaceae.